GAUGAACGCUGGCGGCGUGCCUAAUACAUGCAAGUCGAGCGAACAGAUGAGGAGCUUGCUCCUCUGACGUUAGCGGCGGACGGGUGAGUAACACGUGGAUAACCUACCUAUAAGACUGGGAUAACUUCGGGAAACCGGAGCUAAUACCGGAUAAUAUAUUGAACCGCAUGGUUCAAUAGUGAAAGACGGUUUUGCUGUCACUUAUAGAUGGAUCCGCGCCGCAUUAGCUAGUUGGUAAGGUAACGGCUUACCAAGGCAACGAUGCGUAGCCGACCUGAGAGGGUGAUCGGCCACACUGGAACUGAGACACGGUCCAGACUCCUACGGGAGGCAGCAGUAGGGAAUCUUCCGCAAUGGGCGAAAGCCUGACGGAGCAACGCCGCGUGAGUGAUGAAGGUCUUCGGAUCGUAAAACGCUGUUAUUAGGGAAGAACAAAUGUGUAAGUAACUAUGCACGUCUGGACGGUACCUAAUCAGAAAGCCACGGCUAACUACGU
RNAcentral lists this ribosomal RNA (496 nucleotides) under uncultured bacterium. RNAcentral describes it as "partial 16S ribosomal RNA". It matches the Rfam family "Bacterial small subunit ribosomal RNA", at positions 28 to 506 of the family's 1533-position model. The record is from RNAcentral.